This 624-nucleotide ribosomal RNA is filed under the name Gentiana linoides. RNAcentral's name for it is "eukaryotic LSU rRNA". Lineage: Eukaryota; Viridiplantae; Streptophyta; Magnoliopsida; Gentianales; Gentianaceae. The record is from RNAcentral.
AAUCCUGCUAAGCGGACGACCUGAGGACAUGUUAAACACACGGGGGUCGGGACGAGGGAAACCACGGACCGAUGCCCCGAGCACGUUGUCGACCUCCGGUCGAUYGUCGUGCAAACUAACAAACCCCGGGCGCAGAUUCGCGCCAAGGAAAACGUAAAAAGGAAUGUCUGCCGCACGUCGUGCCGUAAGGUUGCGCACGUGUGGGUCACGGACGCCUAAAGAAACAAAAACGACUCUCGGCAACGGAUAUCUCGGCUCUCGCAUCGAUGAAGAACGUAGCGAAAUGCGAUACUUGGUGUGAAUUGCAGAAUCCCGUGAAUCAUCGAGUCUUUGAACGCAAGUUGCGCCCAAGUCCAUUAGGCCGAGGGCACGUCUGCCUGGGCGUCACGCAUCGCGCCGUCCCCCAACACCAAGCAUGAAACAUUGCUUGUUGUUGGAGGGCCGGAUAUUGGCUUCCCGUGCUCCGGCGCGGCUGGCCUAAAUUCUAGUCCCUUGCGACGGACACGACGACAAGUGGUGGUUGGUUGCCUCAACUAAGGUGCUGUCGUGCGUUGGCCCGUCGGAUGAGGAGACCUCCUUGACCCUAAUGCAUGCGUCGUCACGACGCUGCUCAUGACCGCGACC